RNAcentral lists this ribosomal RNA (486 nucleotides) under uncultured bacterium. RNAcentral describes it as "bacterial SSU rRNA". It matches the Rfam family "Bacterial small subunit ribosomal RNA", at positions 8 to 507 of the family's 1533-position model. The record is from RNAcentral.
AGAGUUUGAUCAUGGCUCAGAAUGAACGUUGGCGGCGUGGAUUAGGCAUGCAAGUCGAGCGAGAACCCAGCAAUGGGGGACAGCGGCGAAAGGGACAGUAAUGUGUAGAUUAUCUGCCCUCGGGUCCGGGAUAGCUGCGGGAAACUGCAGGUAAUACCGGAUAACAUCUCCGGAUCAAAGGUGUGAUUCCGCCCGAGGAUGAGUCUGCAUCCUAUUAGCUUGUUGGUGGGGUAAUGGGCCUACCAAGGCUUUGAUGGGUAGCGGGUGUGAGAGCACGACCCGCGUCAUUGGGACUGAGACACUGCCCAGACACCUACGGGUGGCUGCAGUCGAGAAUCUUCGGCAAUGGGCGCAAGCCUGACCGAGCGACGCCGCGUGUGGGAUGAAGGCCUUCGGGUUGUAAACCACUGUCAGAGGGGAUGAAAUGCAGGUGGGUUCUCCCACUUGUUUGACAUAGCCUCAGAGGAAGGACGGGCUAAGUUCGUG